This is a long non-coding RNA of Pseudoliparis swirei, 619 nucleotides long. RefSeq lists it as uncharacterized. The transcript is spliced from 2 exons. The record is from RefSeq and is a predicted model, not a curated record. NCBI's taxonomy places the organism in Eukaryota, Metazoa, Chordata, Actinopteri, Perciformes, Liparidae.
AAUGGCUGUGUCUACUACCGCGCACUUAACGAAGUACACUGCAAUACAGUGCACUGCAAUUCAGUGCACUGCAUUGCAGUGCACUGCGUCGCUGAUGAAGUGCUGUCUCAAAUGGAACACUUAACCGUUAACCACUUGGCGGAAGUGACGGACGCAAAUCUGUUCACGGCACCCGCGAAAUUAAGCCGGGAGUGACGUAUGCAAAUCUGCUUGCGAUCCCGUAACCCUUAAAGUGACCAAAUGAAGCACUUCUUGCCCUCUUGUUGUCCCUUGUUUACCUUUCUCCACCCCAUGUGGAAACUGCGAUACCUCCACCAUCGCGGCAGGAGCCUCCGCCUUCUGGCUGAAGUCGAGAUGCAGCCACCCAGUCCCAGGCGGCGCUGCCGUAUCAAUGUUGCAAUGCCACUGCUGGCGUUGUAUUGUGAUGGCCAGUGACAUGAGGGUGGACUUCAGGCUCACCGAGUCAUUCAACGCCCUCAUGGCUGUGCUGGGCACUGACUGACCACGGUUGGGGCCCGAGAUCUCCUGUCUAGUUUUUAUUUUUUGGCUUGCCAGCGCCACCUCCUAUCGGGUGGUGGCCAGGGCCUUCGACAGGCCCCGGGCUCAGUGCAUGAUGCCA